RNAcentral lists this ribosomal RNA (254 nucleotides) under uncultured bacterium. RNAcentral describes it as "partial 16S ribosomal RNA". It matches the Rfam family "Bacterial small subunit ribosomal RNA", at positions 524 to 776 of the family's 1533-position model. The record is from RNAcentral.
CACGUAGGGUGCGAGCGUUGUCCGGAAUUAUUGGGCGUAAAGAGCUCGUAGGCGGUGUGUCGCGUCGGCCGUGAAAACCUGCAGCUUAACUGUGGGCUUGCGGUCGAUACGGGCAUCACUGGAGUUCGGCAGGGGAGACUGGAAUUCCUGGUGUAGCGGUGAAGUGCGCAGAUAUCGGGAGGAAUACCGAUGGCGAAGGCAGGUCUCUGGGCUGACACUGACGCUCAUGCACGAAAGCGUGGGGAGCAAACAGG